RNAcentral lists this ribosomal RNA (404 nucleotides) under Actinomycetes bacterium. Its description in RNAcentral is "Actinobacteria bacterium partial 16S ribosomal RNA". It matches the Rfam family "Bacterial small subunit ribosomal RNA", at positions 355 to 776 of the family's 1533-position model. Lineage: Bacteria; Bacillati; Actinomycetota; Actinomycetes. The record is from RNAcentral.
UGGGGAAUAUUGGACAAUGGGCGCAAGCCUGAUCCAGCCAUGCCGCGUGAGUGAUGAAGGCCCUAGGGUUGUAAAGCUCUUUCACCGGUGAAGAUAAUGACGGUAACCGGAGAAGAAGCCCCGGCUAACUUCGUGCCAGCAGCCGCGGUAAUACGAAGGGGGCUAGCGUUGUUCGGAUUUACUGGGCGUAAAGCGCACGUAGGCGGACUAUUAAGUCAGGGGUGAAAUCCCGGGGCUCAACCCCGGAACUGCCUUGGAUACUGAUAGUCUUGAGUUCGAGAGAGGUGAGUGGAAUUCCGAGUGUAGAGGUGAAAUUCGUAGAUAUUCGGGGGAACACCAGUGGCGAAGGCGGCUCACUGGCUCGAUACUGACGCUGAGGUGCGAAAGCGUGGGGAGCAAACAGG